This 637-nucleotide ribosomal RNA is filed under the name uncultured bacterium. RNAcentral describes it as "bacterial SSU rRNA". It matches the Rfam family "Bacterial small subunit ribosomal RNA", at positions 202 to 842 of the family's 1533-position model. The record is from RNAcentral.
UAAAGAUUCAUCGCUGAUAGAUAGGCAUGCGUUCCAUUAGGCAGUUGGCGGGGUAACGGCCCACCAAACCGACGAUGGAUAGGGGUUCUGAGAGGAAGGUCCCCCACAUUGGUACUGAGACACGGACCAAACUCCUACGGGAGGCAGCAGUGAGGAAUAUUGGUCAAUGGGCGUAAGCCUGAACCAGCCAAGUCGCGUGAGGGAUGAAGGUUCUAUGGAUCGUAAACCUCUUUUAUAAGGGAAUAAAGUGCGGGACGUGUCCCGUUUUGUAUGUACCUUAUGAAUAAGGAUCGGCUAACUCCGUGCCAGCAGCCGCGGUAAUACGGAGGAUCCGAGCGUUAUCCGGAUUUAUUGGGUUUAAAGGGUGCGUAGGCGGCCUUUUAAGUCAGCGGUGAAAGUCUGUGGCUCAACCAUAGAAUUGCCGUUGAAACUGGGAGGCUUGAGUAUGUUUGAGGCAGGCGGAAUGCGUGGUGUAGCGGUGAAAUGCUUAGAUAUCACGCAGAACCCCGAUUGCGAAGGCAGCCUGCCAAGCCAUGACUGACGCUGAUGCACGAAAGCGUGGGGAUCAAACAGGAUUAGAUACCCUGGUAGUCCACGCAGUAAACGAUGAUCACUAGCUGUUUGCGAUACACAGUAA